Molecule: non-coding RNA, 21 nt
Filed under: Caenorhabditis elegans
Lineage: Eukaryota; Metazoa; Nematoda; Chromadorea; Rhabditida; Rhabditidae
Source: RNAcentral
UGCCAUUUUGUAUGCAUUUGU